CUACACAUGCAGUCGAGCGUGAAAGGGCUUCGGCCUGAGUAAGCGGCGGACGGGUGAGUAACGCGUAGGAAUCUACCUGGUAGUGGGGGAUAACGUUCCGAAAGGAACGCUAAUACCGCAUACGUUCUGAGGAAGAAAGUGGGGGCUCGCAAGACCCCACGCUAUCAGAUGAGCCUGCGUCCGAUUAGCUAGUUGGUGGGGUAAAGGCCUACCAAGGCGACGAUCGGUAACUGGUCUGAGAGGAUGAUCAGUCACACUGGAACUGAGACACGGUCCAGACUCCUACGGGAGGCAGCAGUGGGGAAUAUUGGACAAUGGGGGCAACCCUGAUCCAGCCAUGCCGCGUGUGUGAAGAAGGCCUUCGGGUUGUAAAGCACUUUAAGCGGGGAGGAAGGCUCGAUGGCUAAUACCCAUCGGGAUUGACGUUACCCGCAGAAUAAGCACCGGCAAACUUCGUGCCAGCAGCCGCGGUAAUACGAAGGGUGCGAGCGUUAAUCGGAAUUACUGGGCGUAAAGCGCGCGUAGGUGGUUUGGUAAGCGAUAUGUGAAAUCCCCGGGCUUAACCUGGGAACUGCGUGUCGAACUGCCAGGCUAGAGUAUGGUAGAGGGGUGUGGAAUU
This 619-nucleotide ribosomal RNA is filed under the name uncultured bacterium. RNAcentral describes it as "bacterial SSU rRNA". It matches the Rfam family "Bacterial small subunit ribosomal RNA", at positions 49 to 668 of the family's 1533-position model. The record is from RNAcentral.